Molecule: long non-coding RNA, 1142 nt
Filed under: Numida meleagris (helmeted guineafowl)
Lineage: Eukaryota; Metazoa; Chordata; Aves; Galliformes; Numididae
Description: lncRNA (ENSNMEG00000003889.1)
Source: RNAcentral
AUCCAGGACCCUACAGACUCUAUGGGGCCAUGUGGGGCCAUCCAGGACCCUACAGACUCUACGGGGCUCUACAAACUCUAUGAGGCAUUACAGGUGCUAUGGGACUCUACAGAUCCUAUGGGGUCCUACAGAGCCCUAUGGGGCACUACAGAUCCUAUGGGGCACUACAGAGCUCUGUGGGGCACUACAGAUCCUAUGGGGCACUACAGAGCCCUAUGGGGCACUACAGAUUCCUAUGGGGCACUACAAAGCCCUAUGGGACCCUACAGAUUCCUAUGGGGCACUACAGAGCCCUAUGGCACCCUACAGAUUCCUAUGGGGCACUACAGAGCCCUACAGGACCCUACAGAUUCCUAUGGGGCCCUACAGAUCCUAUGGGGCACUACAGAGCUCUGCAGGUCACUACAGAUUCUAUGGGGCCUUACAGAGCCCUACGGCACCCUACAGAUUCCUAUGGGGCACUACAGAGCCCUAUGGGGCCCUACAGAUCCUAUGGGGCACUACAGAGCUCUGUGGGGCACUACAGAUUCUAUGGGGCACUACAGAGCCCUAUGGGGCACUACAGAUCCUAUGGGACCCUACAGAUUCCUAUGGGGCGCUACAAAGCCCUAUGGGGCCCUAAAUGACCCUACAGAUUCCUAUGGGGCCUUACAGAGCCCUAUGGCACCCUACCGAUUCCUAUGGGCACUACAGAUCCUAUGGGGCACUACAGAUCCUAUGGGGCGCUACAGAGCCCUAUGGGGCCGCUAUGGUGUCUCUGUAGGGUAGCUAUGGGGUCUCCGUGGGGCAGCUAUGGGGCUACUAUGGAGCCACUAGGGGGUCUCUAUGGGGUCUCUGUGGGGCAGCUAUGGAGCCACUAGGGGGUCACUGUGGGGUCUCUGUGGGGCCGCUAUGGGGUCUCUGUGGGGCAGCUAUGGGGCCGCUAUGGGGCAGCUAUGGGGCUCACCCGAGGCGUUGGGGUGCAGGCGCUCGUCGUUCAGUGGGGCCAGGAAGUCGCUGCUGUUGAGGUACAGGUCCCGGUGGUGGGGGUCUGUGGGGGGGGGGGACCCCAAAUCAGCCCCACGGCGACGCCCCGCACCCCCACCAUGGGGUUUGGGGGUCCCAGGGGAGGGUUUGGGGGUCCCCCCCCCGGAUAUUUUGGG